This 108-nucleotide small nucleolar RNA is filed under the name Cephalotus follicularis. RNAcentral's name for it is "Plant small nucleolar RNA R71". It matches the Rfam family "Plant small nucleolar RNA R71". From Rfam's summary of the family: R71 is a member of the C/D box family of snoRNAs containing the C (UGAUGA) and D (CUGA) box motifs. Multiple nearly identical copies of this snoRNA have been identified in Arabidopsis, and it is thought to function as a 2'-O-ribose methylation guide for 18S ribosomal RNA. Lineage: Eukaryota; Viridiplantae; Streptophyta; Magnoliopsida; Oxalidales; Cephalotaceae. The record is from Rfam by way of RNAcentral.
AAACCAUGAUGAGGACACUCUAAAAGAAGAUCCUUAAAAUGUUCCAUACAUCUAGAAAAAUGAUUCAUUUGGUUUUUGACGAAACUGGAGAAUGUUGUUCCUAAGUUU